ACGCUCGACACCUACGGGGGGCAGCAGUGGGGAAUAUUGGGCAAUGGGCGCAAGCCUGACCCAGCAACGCCGCGUGAAGGAAGAAGGCCCUCGGGUUGUAAACUUCUUUUAACAGGGACGAAGUAAGUGACGGUACCUGUUGAAUAAGCCACGGCUAACUACGUGCCAGCAGCCGCGGUAAUCUGAGCGGGCUGGCAAGGC
RNAcentral lists this ribosomal RNA (201 nucleotides) under uncultured bacterium. RNAcentral describes it as "partial 16S ribosomal RNA". It matches the Rfam family "Bacterial small subunit ribosomal RNA", at positions 328 to 539 of the family's 1533-position model. The record is from RNAcentral.